UAAAAAAAAAUGUCAAUAAUGGCCAAACU
Molecule: non-coding RNA, 29 nt
Filed under: Rattus norvegicus (Norway rat)
Lineage: Eukaryota; Metazoa; Chordata; Mammalia; Rodentia; Muridae
Source: RNAcentral